AGUUCGAUCCUGGCUCAGAUUGAACGCUGGCGGGAUGCUUUACACAUGCAAGUCGAACGGCAGCACGGACUUCGGUCUGGUGGCGAGUGGCGAACGGGUGAGUAAUGUAUCGGAACGUGCCUAGUAGCGGGGGAUAACUACGCGAAAGCGUAGCUAAUACCGCAUACGUUCCUCGGGGAAAGUAGGACCUUCGGGCCUCGCACUAUUAGAGCGGCCGAUAUCGGAUUAGCUGCUGCGGGGUAAACGGUCACUCAAGGCGACGAUCCGUAGCUGGUUUGAGAGGACGACCAGCCACACUGGGACUGAGAUAUGCACCUAGACUCCUACGGGAGGCAGCAGUGGGGAAUUUUGGACAAUGGGGGAAAUCCCUGAUCCAGCCAUCCUGGCGUGCGAUGAAGGCCUUUGUUAAAAGCACUUUUGGCAGGAAAGAAACGGCACGGGAUAAUACUCCUCAGUGCAACUGACGGUACUCGCAGAAUAAGCACGGCUAACUACGCCAGCAGCCGGCGGUAAUACGUAGGGUGCAAGCGUUAAUCGGAAUUACUGGGCGAAGCGUGCGCAGGCGGUUCGGAAAGAAAGAUGUAAACCUCUGUGAGCUUAACUUUGGAACUGCAUUUUUAACUACCGAGCUAGAGUGUGUCGAGAGGGAAUUCCGCGUGUAGCAGUGAAAUGCGUAGAUAUGCGGAGGAACACCAUGGCGAAGGCAGCCUCCUGGGAUAACACUGACGCUCAUGCACGAAAAGCGUGGGGAGCAAACAGAUUAGAUACCUGGUAGUCCACGCUCCCUUAAACGAUGUUAACCAGCUGUUGGGGCCUUCGGCCUGGUAGCGCAGCUAACGCGCGGGGUUGACCGCCUGGGAGUACGGUCGCAAGACAAAACUGCUAAAGUGGUGAAUUGACGGGGACCCGCACAAGCGGUGGAUGAUGAUUACCUGAUGCAACGCGAAAACUCACUCUACCCUUGACAUGUCUGAAUCCCGAAGAGAUUUGGGAGUGCUCAAAGAGAACCGGAACACAGGUGCUGCAUGGCUGUCGUCAGCUCAGGUCGUGAGAUGUUGGGUUAAGUCCCGCAACGAUGCAACCCUUGUCAUUAGUUGCUACGUGAAAGGGCACUCUAAUGAGACUGCCGGUGACAAACCGGAGGAAGGUGGAUGACGUCAAGUCCUCAUGGCCUUGCGGGUAGGGCUUCACACGUCAUACAAUGGUCGGGACAGAGGGUCGCCAACCCGCAGGGUUAAUCCCAGAAACCCUGAUCGUAGUCCGAUCGCAGUCUGCAACCUCGACUGCGUGAAGUCGGAAUCGCUAGUAAUCGCGGAUCAGCAUGUCGCGGUGAAUACGUUCCCGGGUCUUGUACACACCGCCCGUCACACCAUGGAGUGGGUUUUACCAGAAGUAGUUAGCCUAACCGCAGGAGGGACAUUGCCGACGGGUGAUUCCAUGACUGAAGGAAACAAAAUAAGAAGUA
This 1465-nucleotide ribosomal RNA is filed under the name uncultured Bordetella sp. RNAcentral's name for it is "partial 16S-23S ribosomal RNA intergenic spacer". It matches the Rfam family "Bacterial small subunit ribosomal RNA". The record is from RNAcentral. Lineage: Bacteria; Pseudomonadati; Pseudomonadota; Betaproteobacteria; Burkholderiales; Alcaligenaceae.